CUUCUCACAUUGCACUUGCAGAGCCUCUGCUUUUGGAGUAUUAGCUUUCGAAUAUACAAAAAUAUGGCAGAAUUUAAUAGUGACCAACUCUUAAGUCUCUUCACUCAGUAUGCUAUGAAAGAAGGUAGCAAGCAACUGCUUUCCAUGGACGGACUUAAAAGUUUGAUUCAGAGCCACUUCUCGAAUGUUUUGGGUUCAAUGUCUCUCAACGAUAUAUCCAAAUACGCGGACUUGGAUAAAGAUGGAAAAAUCAACUUUAAUGACUUCAAGGCACUGAUGAGCAAGUUAGGCAGU
Long non-coding RNA from Podarcis muralis (Common wall lizard), 294 nucleotides. RefSeq lists it as uncharacterized. NCBI's taxonomy places the organism in Eukaryota, Metazoa, Chordata, Lepidosauria, Squamata, Lacertidae. The record is from RefSeq and is a predicted model, not a curated record.